CCUCGCCGGUCGCCGCGGCAGCCAGUGAUGCCCGAGCGGCGGGUUCCCAGGCCCAGGUGUGGGCGCCACCGCCCACCAUGCGCCAAGCCCAGAGCCUGGUUGAAUCGUUCGCCACCUUGUCUACCCAUUUUGGCCAUUAUCCUGCCACCUCCAAAUCCUGUUUUUGACACUUCUCGGGAGAGAGAGAAAACGGAAAGAUAAAGGAAUAAACUCCUCGUGGUCGUAGUUAGUGGGUAAAUUCAGAUCUCGUUUGAACCGAGGUUUUUCUUAUCUCCAGCCACCGUAUCCACCACCACCAGAAUCGUCUUUUUAGUCAUCACAGCUGGUCGCCGUCAGUACCUUGUUCAGAAGCCUCUCGCAGCUUCCAUCGUGUGGUUAUACAAUCCAAAUUCCUUAUAAAGUCCAAAUUCAAGAGGAGGAAUGCACGUUUAGUUAAGUUAAUGUCUAGACCUUACCAGCCAAUUUCUAGCUCCUCAGUAUGGAAAUUGCAACUGAAAACACCCCUUCCAAAAAAAGCAGUCUGCAUUUUUCUCUGAGUUUUCUUCUCCAAAUUUCGCACCCCUGACCUUGCUUACACACUCUGGAUACCACCUGCUGUGGAGUGGCGGAAGCAGACAUCCAGCGAUAGCUAAGUUUCCUGUCGUUGACACCCAAGCAAGACAGGCGUGUACCUAACUGAGGACCUGCCGGUGAUAGAAGUCUCAGCUUUUCUCAGAGACAGAUGAGUCUUCCCUUUAAAUGCUGCAAAGUGCUGCAUAGUAGAUGUUAAAUGAAAGUCAGAAAGAAUCAAAUGUGCUGCAAAUAAUUGAAGGCCACCAGGAACACACCUGUAGCUCAGCAAAGUUGAAGCCAUCGACUGGCUCAUCACAACAAGGAAGGCUGUGCACCACCAGGACCCAGCAGCAGCUCAGCAGCAGCAGUGAGAGGGCCUUGGGAAAGACUUGGAGGGUUUGGCUUAUACAAGACCAGAUUACAGAGGGGUAUUGAUUUGCCUUUCCCCCGCCCCCACCAUCACAGUGUGUCCCUGUCCAGUGUUGGUGCUCUGUGGCAUUGCUUGUGUCCAUAGGAGUCCAUCAAGGCAGAGCGGCAAGAGCCAGUUCAACCCAAUGGAAAUAGAUUAAAAGAGUGAAAGUCACUGGUCUCAAAGAAUCUACGGAAUUCAGCAUUUUGGAAAUCACAUAGCAAUUUUGGGUAGGUAUUCACAUGCACUAAAAAACCAGGCAAACAUCCGACUCCCAGGAUAAAGUGACUGAGAGCAGUAGAAGACUUGUUGAGCCGUAAGGAAUAAGAGGAAAAUUAUGUUAUGAAGUGCAGGAACAGCACAGACCCAGACGAGGGGAUGCAGCCCAGAGCCAGUAACCCGGUGCCUCCUCCUCCCCAGGAAGCAGCGCUGGCUGAUCCCCAGAUACCAUGAUCACACCGUCCCAGGUCCUGAGAGCGCCUCAUAGGUAGACAGUUCUUUGGGACUUUUGGGACGCAGCACUUGAAGAGAGGUCUACCUAAACUUUCCUCCUGGGAGCCUGUGAUCAUUUGAAAGUAACAGAAGAAAGUUGUCAGGCUGAGGAAAGUUUCAACAGGCACUUGGUGAGAAUGGGAAGCAUCCAUUCAUUGCGAAAUCGCGGGGACAGAGGAGGAAUUCACGGGAUCAGAGCACUGAGAAACUCCAGAGGCUUCUGGUUCACCGCCCUGAUUCCACAGAUGUGGGUCAGAGGCAGAGAUGGAAGUUGGAAUGGACAAGCCUGCCCUCUCAUCGGCUCUCCAUGGCUCUGUCCUCAGGCUGUUUCUGCAAUUUGACAUGAGGCCUGGCCCCAGGGAAACCAGUGGGGCCUCAUCUCCUCCCUGUGCUGCUCUGAGAUGGAGUCUUCUCAGGGUCAGUCCAGCUCUGGAGCCCCUCUCCAGCUCGGUCACCAAAGCUGUCUGGUCCCAGGGCGGUGCUGAGUGACAGGCACACCAGCCAGUCCAAUUGGCCAUUUCAUACCCAAUGCAUGUGACUGAUAAAGAGAUAACACCCUGUCUCCAAGACACAGGCUUUACAUAAACAGCUUUAAUGACCUCUUCACCUAGAGACAAGACUCCUUAGUGGUGGAACCUCAGGCAUCCGUGCAGGAUGUAAGAAAGCUCCCGUAUAUACAUGAACUGAGAAGUGUGUAGAAGAAUAAAUACUGUAAUAGGUAAUAAAAUGUAUGUAUUUUUAUUUA
RNAcentral lists this long non-coding RNA (2198 nucleotides) under Homo sapiens (human). Its description in RNAcentral is "HSALNT0324889". Lineage: Eukaryota; Metazoa; Chordata; Mammalia; Primates; Hominidae. The record is from RNAcentral.